UACGUAGGUGGCGAGCGUUAUCCGGAAUUACUGGGCGUAAAGGGCACGCAGGCGGCCAUUCAAGUCUGACGUGAAAGCUCCUGGCUUAACUGGGAGAGGUCGUUGGAGACUGAGUGGCUUGAGGCGAUGAGAGGGGUGCGGAAUUCCCGGUGUAGUGGUGGAAUGCGUAGAUAUCGGGAGGAACACCAGUGGCGAAAGCGGCGCCCUAGCAUUGGCCUGACGCUCAUGUGGAAAGCGUGGGGAGCGAACGGGAUUAGAUACCCGGGUA
Molecule: ribosomal RNA, 268 nt
Filed under: uncultured prokaryote
Description: partial 16S ribosomal RNA
Rfam family: Bacterial small subunit ribosomal RNA
Source: RNAcentral